Molecule: non-coding RNA, 181 nt
Filed under: Thalassotalea piscium
Lineage: Bacteria; Pseudomonadati; Pseudomonadota; Gammaproteobacteria; Alteromonadales; Colwelliaceae
Description: 6S / SsrS RNA
Rfam family: 6S / SsrS RNA
About the family: E. coli 6S RNA was the first non coding RNA to be sequenced, but its function was unknown until recently. It consists of 184 nucleotides that fold into an extended hairpin structure with a large single-stranded internal bulge.
Source: Rfam by way of RNAcentral
AGUCUUCUGGGAUGUUCGUUGUUAGCUAUGUCCCUGAGCCGAUAAGUUUUACCUUAGGAAACUUAUCAUUCGCUAUUGUGCAAGCCCAGCUCGUACUGGGAAGCCUACGGCAAAUGUGCAGUUUCCGCCCUGAACACACGGUGUUCAGGACUAAUGUUGACUACGGCAUUCUGGAAGGCUU